Molecule: ribosomal RNA, 478 nt
Filed under: uncultured bacterium
Lineage: Bacteria
Description: partial 16S ribosomal RNA
Rfam family: Bacterial small subunit ribosomal RNA
Source: RNAcentral
GAUGAACGCUGGCGGCGUGCUUAACACAUGCAAGUCGAACGAGAAGUGAAGACGGAACCCUUCGGGCGGAAGGCUUUUUUUCGAGUGGCGGACGGGUGAGUAACGCGUGGGUACCCUGCCUCAUACAGGGGGAUAACAGUUGGAAACGACUGUUAAUACCGCAUAAGACCACAGCACCGCAUGGUGCGGGGGUAAAAACUCCGGUGGUAUGAGAUGGACCCGCGUUCGAUUAGCCAGUUGGCGGGGUAACGGCCCACCAAAGCGACGAUCGAUAGCCGAUCUGAGAGGAUGACCGGCCACAUUGGGACUGAGACACGGCCCAAACUCCUACGGGAGGCAGCAGUGGGGAAUAUUGCACAAUGGGGGAAACCCUGAUGCAGCGACGCCGCGUGAGUGAAGAAGUAUUUCGGUAUGUAAAGCUCUAUCAGCAGGGAAGAAAAUGACGGUACCUGAGUAAGAAGCCCCGGCUAACUACGUG